Molecule: long non-coding RNA, 2261 nt
Organism: Piliocolobus tephrosceles (Ugandan red Colobus)
Lineage: Eukaryota; Metazoa; Chordata; Mammalia; Primates; Cercopithecidae
Source: Ensembl
AUAUACACGUACGCAUGCUUGUGUGUUAACCUCCUUUUCUUCCUACGUAUAGACGUAUUCAAAGUAAGCGAAUACUACGAAAGUGAUUUUUUGUCGAAAGAAAAAAAAUGCAAGUUGUUUGUUCCUUACAAAAAUAAAAAAGAAAGAGAGCCUAGAUUUAUAGCAAUAGAAAAAUUAAAAAAAUUAUAUAAAGGGAUUAAUAUCUAUGAGCUGUUAAACGAGAAAAAAAAAAAUCUCGAUGCAGAAGAACUUAGUUUUAAUUGGACAGAUAUAAUAAAUUAUGAAGAUUCAUCUUUUGACAUUUUUACGACAGAAGAUAUAUUGGAAGAGUUAAAAGAAGAAGAUAAUAUAAAUGGGGUUGAAAAAAGGAAAGAGAAGGGAGUAAUUAACCAUAUUAACACGUAUACUAAUACCAAUAAUGUUAACUAUAAUAAUAAAAGUAAUCAUACGAAUAGCGACAAAGAUAAUGCAAAAUUAGAUGAUGUGAAAAGUAAAUUUGGUGUUUCAUUAAAGGCAAAGGGUGUAAUUUUACCAGAUGUUAAUAUUUUUCAUAGUACAUAUGAUGAUAUUUGUGUAUAUGGUUAUAAUUAUAAGAGUAAUUUAUUUAAAGCCAAAAAAAAAACAUCUAAUUCUUUUUUCGAAAUUCAUAGGAUUCAAUUUUUCUUUACUACUGAAAACCCAAUUAUUUAUGUAGAAAAAGUAAUAAAUGCUAUUAAAAAUAAAUCGAAUAUUAUAAAAAAAAAAAGACACUAUUCAGAAAUCGACCAUACGUAUUUAAAAUACAAUUGUGUUUUAGAUGAUGUGAAAACUAUAAUAAAAAAUGAUGUCCAUAUGAAAAAUUACCCAGUUAUUGAUACUAUUGCUGACGAUUUAAAUAGCUUUUGUAAUGUAUGGCUCGGUAGAUGUAUUUCGAAUCAGGCAUUGGGAAACAACUUCAGUAAUAACAUCAGCCAUAAUGUCAGCUGUGGUAGUUAUUACCAUGUUGAAAGGGUUAAUAAAAAUAAAAAAGAAAUAAAAUAUUACAAUUAUGAUUUUGAAAAUAAAAAAAAUAUAAUUAAGAAAUGUGUAUUAUUUGAAAAUACAAAAGUUAUUAAAACAUUUUUAGAUAUAUCCAAAAAAUGUUCUUUAAUAAAUAUAAUUAUAUUUGACACGAAUAUUACUAACCCAUUUGAAUUGAGUGAAUUUUACCAGUUGCAAAAUACGUCCAUUUUGAAGUCCUUCGAAACAGUCAACAACAUCUGGAUGAGCGAUAUAAAAUUCACUAUCGAAGAGAACCUAAAAGACUGCGCCAAAGGAAAUUAUAUUCUUAAAGAUGUGUCUAUUGAAACAUAUAAAUAUACAAAGAUACGUAUUUUUUUUAAUAUAUUGAAACUUAUGCUUGAAAAGAAAAUAAACGAAAUGUUAAUAAGUAAUAUAGAAAAUUUUAUAUCAAUGUUUGUAAAUAAUAUGACAAGUUACAAAAAAAAAAGAAAUUACAUUCCUGUAUUUGUAAUUAAUAUAACAAGAAAGUUUGACUGUUCGAAAUUUAUUUUAGAUAAUAAUUCAGUUUCCUUUUAUGAAAAAAUUGAAGAAAUUAUAAUUUCCACUUUAAUUAAAUAUCAACAAAUAGUAAAGAUUGAAAAGUUAAUUAUACCACAAGUAUUCAAAAAUGAUAAAUUCAUAUUUUAUAAUUGCAUGAAAGAAAAUGAUAUUUUUAUAAAUGGGAAAUUAAACCAAGUAAAAAAUAUAUUUGAAGAAUCGAACAUACUAGUGAAUAAUUACUUAGAAAAAAUAAAUAAGCACUCAGGCAUACUAACGUUUAAUAUUAACGAAGCUAUUAAAAAUAUAGAUAUAAACACGAGCGUGGAACAUAUUCAAAAUAUAAUUAACAAGAACCAAGAAAAAAUACAAAAUAUAAAUGACACGAUUGAGGAGAAUAUAAACUUGGGAGUAUUUCUAGUCAAAUCUAAGGAUAUCAAACUUUUUAUUAUUAAUGAAAUUAGUAAUUAUGUUAAGGCUCUCAUUGACAUUAUUGUGCAAAGGUAGGGCACUGUCAGUUAGUGGUAGCGUCAGUUAUUUGGCGGUAGUAGUGAAACAAAUAAUUUUUUUGUUUCGAAUUUUAACGACAUAACAGUGACUCGGUUUAAAAAAAAAAAAAAAAAAAAUUGUCUCAUACUGAUUAAUGUGUAUCGCAUAAUAUAUAUGCGUUCUCUUAUGAGUUACGCCUACAUUUUAUCAGAGCAUUUAGUAAAUGAAUAAACAUAUAAGCAAACGGAUAGGCA